AUUGAACGCUGGCGGCAUGCCUUACACACGCAAGUCGAACGGCAGCACGGGAGCAAUCCUGGUGGCGAGUGGCGAACGGGUGAGUAAUAUAUCGGCACGUGCCCAGUCGUGGGGGAUAACGUAGCGAAAGCUACGCUAAUACCACAUACGAUCUAUGGAUGAAAGCGGGGGAUCGAAAGACCUCGCGCGACUGUAUCUGCCGAUAUCAGAUUAGGUAGUUGGUGAGGUAAAGGCUCACCAAGCCGACGAUCUGUAGCUGGUCUGAGAGGACGACCAGCCACACUGGAACUGAGACACGGUCCGGACUCCUACGGGAGGCAGCAGUGGGGAAUUUUGGACAAUGGGCGCAAGCCUGAUCCAGCAAUGCCGCGUGCAGGAUGAAGGCCUUCGGGUUGUAAACUGCUUUUGUACGGAACGAAACGGUGAGCUCUAAUACAGUUUGCUAAUGACGGUACCGUAAGAAUAAGCACCGGCUAACUACGUGCCAGCCGCCGCCGUAA
RNAcentral lists this ribosomal RNA (500 nucleotides) under uncultured bacterium. RNAcentral describes it as "partial 16S ribosomal RNA". It matches the Rfam family "Bacterial small subunit ribosomal RNA", at positions 30 to 523 of the family's 1533-position model. The record is from RNAcentral.